CGGGAUGGCAGACCAGGGCGUUCACCCGCUCAAUUUAAGCAUAUUAGUCAGCGGAGGAAAAGAAAUCAAUCGAGAUUCCCGUAGUAGCUGCGAGCGAACAGGGAAAAGCCCGAGACCGAAUCCCUUCCCCCCUAGCGGGGGUCGCGGACCUGUAGUCUAAGGGUUGGGACCGCGAGUCAAAGACUUACAGCACACAGGCUAAGAUCCUGGAGCACAGGGCGUUACACGCGACCUGGUAGGGCGGCGACGAGAGGGACUGACCCGCGAGUAGGCCAGCUUGAAAGUGCUGGCUGAAGAUAGGUGGUGCUGGCCAUCUAAGGCUAAAUAUGAAAGCAGGCAACCGAUAGCAAACAAGUACCGUAAGGGAAAGCUGAAAAGCACCUCGUUGAGGAGUUAAAAGAGCAUGAAAUCCGCCCAAUGAGAACGGUAAAUCUAUACGGCUCGUCGAAAGGCGCUGGGCGGGGUUCGUCCCCUGCCAUACGGCGCUGAGUACGGCACAGCUGCGGCUGAGGCGACGCUGGGAAAGGUGACCUAACGGCCAAUCUCGCUUACGGGCGAGGACGGUCAAGGACACCGGAACCGCGGGACCUCUCCGUCUAGGCUUACACUCACGCGUGAAUGGGUUCGCCCCAUAACCGUGAGACGUACAGCGUGUCAGAGCUUAGUUUACCACCCGUCUUGAAACACGGACCAAGGAGUCUAACGUACAUGCAAGUCGAACAGCUUUCACGCUGAGACGGCGAAGCUAAUGCAAAAAGCACCCAGGGCGAGCCUAUGGCGGACCCCGCAAUGCUCUCCUAACCGGGCUCUCGGGCUUGGAUUGGAGUUUGAGCAUGUCAUGUUAGGUCCCGAAAAACGACGAGCUAUGCUUGAGUAGGCCGAAGCCAGGAGAAAUCUUGGUGGAAGGUCGUACGCAGUACUGACGUGCAAAUCGUUUGUCAAACUUGAGUAUAGGGGCGAAAGACCAAUCGAGUCGUUUAGUAGCUGGUUUCCACCGAAGUUUCCCUCAGGAUAGCAAAGGAAAAAGUGUCGAGUAUGGGGCGGUAAAGACAAUGAUUAGGAGCACCGGGCGGUUUGACCGUUCGGCUCAUUCUCAAACUUUUAAUGCUCUAAAGCCAUUGACCACGCGUCGUAGCAGCGCUGGUCUGGGCAGUAUCGGGUCUCCUUUAGUGGGCCACGUUGGUAAGCAAGGAUGGCAAAAAGGGUUCAAACUUGUGCCCGGUUAGGUUCUCGAAGACAUUGGCAAUGACCACUCAAAAGGUAUUGCCUCAUGAUGACAGCUGGACAGUGGCCAUGGAAGCCGGCAUCUGCUAAGGAGUGCGUAACAGCUCACCAGCCGAAUGGGGUAGUCCUGAAAAUGGACGAGGUUCAACCAGUGCAACCAUACCGGCCAAGGCUCUUAUAAGGCGGCGUAAGCGGGCUUCGGCUCGCAAGCUAUUCCAUGAGUAAACGAGUAGGGCGGAUACCCCAGGUCGGGUUGAAGCGUGCUGUUGACAGCACGUGGACCGGCCGGGGCAGCAGAUCUUGGUAGUAGUAGCAAGUAUUCAUAUGCAACACUCUGAAGGCCGAAGUGGAGGAGGGUUCCUCAACAACAGCAGUUGAUUGGGGGUUAGUCGGAAUCUAAGCGUCAAGGGAAACCUAGGUUAACCUCGGGCUCUCGUCCGCGGUCCUGACGGGGUAACACCCGUCUCGUACCGUGGCUUGGGCUCGGACGCGACAGAGAAGCGGGUUAAUAUUCCUGCACUCAACUCGAUGUGACAGUGGGCGACCUUAAAGCGAUAUCCGAAACCAGUGACGUAACUGGGAACCGUGAGAGGGAUUUUCCCUCCUUGUUACGGGAGUUAACUGCUCUGGUAAGCUUGCAUUGUGCAGAUGCCCAGGCAACCUACUCCUCGAGAGCAUGUCGUUCUUCGAUGUGUUCGCGGUCUCCUUCCGUUGCCCUAGAAAAGCUGGCAGAUGGGUGAAACGUGUUGUCCUUCGGUUGAACCGUACCUAAUCCGCAGCAGGUCUCCAAGAUGAGCAGUCUCUGGCGCAUAGAACAAAGUAGCGUAAGGGAAUUCGGCAAGCCGGAUUCGUAACUUCGGGAUAAGGAUUGGCUCUAUAGGCUGGGUGUCGCUGGGCUGGGUAAGGCUCGCGGGAUGUGCUUUAGUAAUGGCCGAGGCGCUUUCGGGUGCCGAGAGCGUGAACGGGCCGCUCGGGGCUGAAAACUAGAUCAUUGCGGAGGUUCGCCCGAGUGGUGAAAACCGGCACACCGCUAACAGCUAACGUAGAACUUACAAAGGCUAGGGGAAUCCAACUGUAUAAUUAAAACAUAGCGAUUUGUUGGUGCCAAAGCGUGUAAACGAAUCGUGAUUUCUGCCCAGUGCUCUGGAUGUUAAAAUGGCGAAAUCCAACCAAGCUCGGGUAAACGGCGGGAGUAACUAUGACUCUCUUAAGGUAGCCAAAUGCCUCGUCAUUUAAUUUGUGACGCGCAUGAAUGGAUUAAUGAGAUUCCCACUGUCCCUACCUACUAUCUAGCGAAACCACAGCCAAGGGAACGGGCUUGGCACAAUUAGCGGGGAAAGAAGACCCUGUUGAGCUUGACUCUAGGCAUAGACGCGAGGUGAUUCUAAAGGUGUAGCAUAGGUGGGAGGGCCCAUGCCCGUCAAUGAAAUACCACCACUUUCGACAUCGCUUUGCUAAUGCUGUAACGAACGAACGGAACCGCGUCCCUCUCACCGUAAAAGGUGGGGGAAGGGAUAGGCAAUCCAAAUUCUAGCGCUUUCCGCGCUCAUACGACGAGUUGGCUCCCCUGGGUGAGUACCGUGGAACCACGAGCUGGGCUUCCGAGUCCGGCGAGUGCUGUUUCCGCGGGAACCAGAGACGGUCUUCUCGGCCUCUGUGGGCUUCAUGCCGGUACGUAAUUGCGUGUAGCAGACUAUCUAUGUUGGGGAGUUUGGCUGGGGCGGAAAACUGCUACACGGCAACGGCAGUCUCCUAAGGUCCACUCAGAGACGACAGAAACGUCUCGUAGAGAUAAAGGCAAAAGUGGGCUUAACUCGCAUUUUCAGUAGUAAUGUGAAGCAAGAAAUUGCGGCUUAACGAUCCUUAGCGGCGGGUGCCAGCCCACGCUUGAGGUGAGAGAAAAGUUACCACAGGGAUAACUGGCUUGUGGCCGCCAAGCGUUCAUAGCGACGUGGCUUUUUGAUCCUUCGAUGUCGGCUCUUCCUAUCAUACUAAAGCGAAUUCAGUAAGUGUUGGAUUGUUCACCCUCUUAAGGGAACGUGAGCUGGGUUUAGACGUCGUGAGACAGGUUAGUUUUACCCUCCUACUUGACAACUAGGAGGCGUUUCGGCGCCGCGGUGUGCCCUGAUAGUAGAUCACUUCAGUACGAGAGGAACCAGUGAUUCAGACCAAUGGUGUAAGCGCUGCUCGAACGGGCAGAGCGCUAGAGCUACGUCUGUUGGAUGAAGGCUGGAAGCAUCUAAGCCCGAAGCCAUGCUAGAUAGGGGACGUCGCAAUCAAAGAUACGCUUGCUUUUAAGUCUGGCAACGCGGUCUUUUACCAUCAACAGCCAGUCAACUGAGCAGGACGCGAUGCAAAGAGGUCGAAAUUAGCCCGUAAAAAGGUCAGUUCCUCGUUAAGCCGCCCCCACGGGGGCAUCAACGGCGCUCCGCCUGCAUCAGGCUCGGUAUUCCGUAAACCACACAGCAUACGACUGUGCGUAGCGGAAAUGGUGUUAGUGAUCAAGCUGGCUGGCCGUCUAGCAUUGCGAGACGCUGAGCCAGUGUUUGCGUUUUUUUGUCGGC
This 3788-nucleotide ribosomal RNA is filed under the name Badhamia polycephala. RNAcentral describes it as "eukaryotic LSU rRNA". It matches the Rfam family "Eukaryotic large subunit ribosomal RNA". Lineage: Eukaryota; Evosea; Eumycetozoa; Physariida; Physaraceae. The record is from RNAcentral.